This 363-nucleotide non-coding RNA is filed under the name Rossellomorea marisflavi. RNAcentral's name for it is "Bacillus marisflavi cspA thermoregulator". It matches the Rfam family "cspA thermoregulator", at positions 137 to 428 of the family's 428-position model. RNAcentral also lists the same sequence under 1 other name. The record is from Rfam by way of RNAcentral. Lineage: Bacteria; Bacillati; Bacillota; Bacilli; Caryophanales; Bacillaceae.
UGUUAUUCUAUAGAAGAAUUAUUUUUGUUCGGUAUGUAAGGGAAGAACAAGAUUUGCUUUUCGCCUGAUAUCGCAAGAAUAGUAAUAAUUUGUGCACAAGCACGUAGGAGGCAACAAUUAUGGAAAACGGUAAAGUGAAAUGGUUCAACGCAGAAAAAGGUUUCGGUUUCAUCGAAGUUGAAGGUGGAGACGACGUUUUCGUACACUUCUCAGCGAUCCAAGGCGAAGGUUUCAAAUCUCUUGACGAAGGUCAAGAAGUAUCUUUCGACAUCGAGCAAGGUGCUCGUGGACCACAAGCAGCUAACGUUGUAAAACUUUAAUUUUACAUUCCAGGAACAGGCUCCCUCGGGGCCUGUUCUUUUU